RNAcentral lists this ribosomal RNA (434 nucleotides) under uncultured bacterium. RNAcentral's name for it is "bacterial SSU rRNA". It matches the Rfam family "Bacterial small subunit ribosomal RNA", at positions 958 to 1392 of the family's 1533-position model. The record is from RNAcentral.
AACGCGAAGAACCUUACCAAGUCUUGACAUCCCAUUGACAGGGACGUAACGGUCCUUUCCCUUCGGGGCAAUGGAGACAGGUGGUGCAUGGUUGUCGUCAGCUCGUGUCGUGAGAUGUUGGGUUAAGUCCCGCAACGAGCGCAACCCUUAUCCUUAGUAGCCAGCAUUUGAGGUGGGCACUCUAGGGAGACUGCCAGGGAUAACCUGGAGGAAGGUGGGGAUGACGUCAAAUCAUCAUGCCCCUUAUGAUUUGGGCUACACACGUGCUACAAUGGCGUAAACAAAGGGAGGCGAAGCCGUGAGGUGGAGCAAAUCCCAAAAAUAACGUCUCAGUUCGGAUUGUAGUCUGCAACUCGACUACAUGAAGCUGGAAUCGCUAGUAAUCGCGAAUCAGAAUGUCGCGGUGAAUACGUUCCCGGGUCUUGUACACACCG